Molecule: ribosomal RNA, 454 nt
Filed under: uncultured bacterium
Lineage: Bacteria
Description: bacterial SSU rRNA
Rfam family: Bacterial small subunit ribosomal RNA
Source: RNAcentral
CAUGCAGUCGAGCGGUAGAGAGAAGCUUGCUUCUCUUGAGAGCGGCGGACGGGUGAGUAAUACCUAGGAAUCUGCCUGAUAGUGGGGGAUAACGUUCGGAAACGGACGCUAAUACCGCAUACGUCCUACGGGAGAAAGCAGGGGACCUUCGGGCCUUGCGCUAUCAGAUGAGCCUAGGUCGGAUUAGCUAGUUGGUGGGGUAAUGGCUCACCAAGGCGACGAUCCGUAACUGGUCUGAGAGGAUGAUCAGUCACACUGGAACUGAGACACGGUCCAGACUCCUACGGGAGGCAGCAGUGGGGAAUAUUGGACAAUGGGCGAAAGCCUGAUCCAGCCAUGCCGCGUGUGUGAAGAAGGUCUUCGGAUUGUAAAGCACUUUAAGUUGGGAGGAAGGGCCAUUACCUAAUACGUGAUGGUUUUGACGUUACCGACAGAAUAAGCACCGGCUAACUCU